Molecule: ribosomal RNA, 468 nt
Filed under: uncultured bacterium
Lineage: Bacteria
Description: partial 16S ribosomal RNA
Rfam family: Bacterial small subunit ribosomal RNA
Source: RNAcentral
GACGAACGCUGGCGGCGUGCUUAACACAUGCAAGUCGAACGGAAAGGCCCUGCUUUUGUGGGGUGCUCGUUUGGCGAACGGGGGAGUAACACGUGAGUAACCUGCCCUUGACUUUGGGAUAACUUCAGGAAACUGGGGCUAAUACCGGAUAGGAGCUCCUGCUGCAUGGUGGGGGUUGGAAAGUUUCGGCGGUUGGGGAUGGACUCGCGGCUUAUCAGCUUGUUGGUGUGGUAGUGGCUUACCAAGGCUUUGACGGGUAGCCGGCCUGAGAGGGUGACCGGCCACAUUGGGACUGAGAUACGGACCAGACUCCUACGGGAGGCAGCAGUGGAGAAUAUUGCACAAUGGGCGGAAGCGUGAUGCAGCAACGCCGCGUGCGGGAUGACGGCCUUCGGGUUGUAAACCGAUUUCGCAUGUGACGAAGCGUGAGUGACGGUAAUGGGUAAAGAAGCACCGGCUAACUACGUG